CCAUCAUUCAGUUGGGCACUCUAGAGAAACUGCCGGUGAUAAGCCGGAGGAAGGUGUGGAUGACGUCAAGUCCUCAUGGCCCUUACGGGUUGGGCUACACACGUGCUACAAUGGUGGUGACAAUGGGUUAAUCCCAAAAAGCCAUCUCAGUUCGGAUUGGGGUCUGCAACUCGACCCCAUGAAGUCGGAAUCGCUAGUAAUCGCGUAACAGCAUGACGCGGUGAAUACGUUCCCGGGCCUUGUACACACCGCCCGUCACACCAUGGGAAUUGGAUCUACCCGAAGGUGGUGCGCCAACC
RNAcentral lists this ribosomal RNA (299 nucleotides) under uncultured Alphaproteobacteria bacterium. RNAcentral's name for it is "partial 16S ribosomal RNA". It matches the Rfam family "Bacterial small subunit ribosomal RNA", at positions 1118 to 1440 of the family's 1533-position model. The record is from RNAcentral. Lineage: Bacteria; Pseudomonadati; Pseudomonadota; Alphaproteobacteria.